RNAcentral lists this non-coding RNA (80 nucleotides) under uncultured Butyricicoccus sp. Its description in RNAcentral is "Glycine riboswitch". It matches the Rfam family "Glycine riboswitch aptamer", at positions 9 to 86 of the family's 94-position model. Rfam says of the family: This family represents the bacterial glycine riboswitch. Lineage: Bacteria; Bacillati; Bacillota; Clostridia; Eubacteriales; Butyricicoccaceae. The record is from RNAcentral.
GUGACUCUGGAGAAUCCCAGUUUGGGUGCCGAAGGUGUAAGGCGCUGCCGCGCCAAUCUCUCAGGCAAAAGGACAGAGAA